CAAAAUGUAGCUUAAUUCCAAAGCUUUUCGCUUACACCGAAACCAUCUCUGUGAGACCCAGAUCAUUUUGAG
This 72-nucleotide transfer RNA is filed under the name Andinobates victimatus. Its description in RNAcentral is "tRNA-Val". Lineage: Eukaryota; Metazoa; Chordata; Amphibia; Anura; Dendrobatidae. The record is from RNAcentral. RNAcentral also lists the same sequence under 1 other name.